Long non-coding RNA from Amblyraja radiata (thorny skate), 156 nucleotides. RefSeq lists it as uncharacterized. The transcript has 2 exons. The record is from RefSeq and is a predicted model, not a curated record. Lineage: Eukaryota; Metazoa; Chordata; Chondrichthyes; Rajiformes; Rajidae.
UGCAAUGGAAGGCAUUUAAAAACUGCAUGGAUGAACUACAACAAUUGUUCAUCCCAGUUUGGCAAAGGAAUAAAUCAGGGAGGUUAGUGCAUCCGUGGAUAACAAGGGAAAUCAGGGAUAGUAUCAAAACAAAAGACAAAGCGUACAAAUUAGCCA